RNAcentral lists this ribosomal RNA (253 nucleotides) under uncultured bacterium. RNAcentral describes it as "partial 16S ribosomal RNA". It matches the Rfam family "Bacterial small subunit ribosomal RNA", at positions 524 to 776 of the family's 1533-position model. The record is from RNAcentral.
UACAGAGGGUGCGAGCGUUAAUCGGAAUUACUGGGCGUAAAGCGCACGUAGGUGGCUUGGCAAGUCGGUUGUGAAAGCCCCGGGCUCAACCUGGGAACUGCAUCCGAGACUGCCUUGCUAGAGUAUGGGAGAGGGAAGUGGAAUUUCCGGUGUAGCGGUGAAAUGCGUAGAUAUCGGAAGGAACAUCAGUGGCGAAGGCGACUUCCUGGACCAAUACUGACACUCAAGUGCGAAAGCGUGGGGAGCAAACAGG